GACGAACGCUGGCGGCGUGCUUAACACAUGCAAGUCGAACGAAGAGCGAUGGAAGCUUGCUUCUAUCAAUCUUAGUGGCGAACGGGUGAGUAACGCGUAAUCAACCUGCCCUUCAGAGGGGGACAACAGUUGGAAACGACUGCUAAUACCGCAUACGAUCUAAUCUCGGCAUCGAGGAUAGAUGAAAGGUGGCCUCUACACGUAAGCUAUCACUGAAGGAGGGGAUUGCGUCUGAUUAGCUAGUUGGAGGGGUAACGGCCCACCAAGGCGAUGAUCAGUAGCCGGUCUGAGAGGAUGAACGGCCACAUUGGGACUGAGACACGGCCCAGACCCCUACGGGAGGCAGCAGUGGGGAAUCUUCCGCAAUGGACGAAAGUCUGACGAAGCAACGCCGCGUGAGUGAUGACGGCCUUCGGGUUGUAAAGCUCUGUUAAUCGGGACGAAAGGCCUUCUUGCGAAUAGUGAGAAGGAUUGACGGUACCGGAAUAGAAAGCCACGGCUAACUACGUG
This 510-nucleotide ribosomal RNA is filed under the name uncultured bacterium. RNAcentral's name for it is "partial 16S ribosomal RNA". It matches the Rfam family "Bacterial small subunit ribosomal RNA", at positions 28 to 507 of the family's 1533-position model. The record is from RNAcentral.